Long non-coding RNA from Loxodonta africana (African savanna elephant), 3656 nucleotides. RefSeq lists it as uncharacterized. The transcript is spliced from 3 exons. The record is from RefSeq and is a predicted model, not a curated record. NCBI's taxonomy places the organism in Eukaryota, Metazoa, Chordata, Mammalia, Proboscidea, Elephantidae.
GUGGCGCACUCUAGGCGGUUCUGGUGCAGCCAGAGCCCGCACCGCAGCGCGCCACCCCGCGAACUCCCGGACCAUGGCAUGGCUGUCAAGCGAACCGGCCGCCGUGGCCCACCGCUCAGCCGCCUACCAGGACUCUGGGCAGCAGCGCUGCUCCAGCUCGGUCUGCAGCGUUCCUCAGUGCCCCCGAAUGUAAGUCAGCGGAGUCAUACUUCUUAUCUGCAGGAGUUAGCGGAAGUGCUGACAAUUGAGAAUGUGGAGUGUUCCCAAGUGCCAGAUGGCCUUUUGGAGAGAAAACUUUAUUUUGGAGCACUUACUGGCCCUGUCUUUUCUAAAUUAAGGGUGGUGAGAUGAUGAGGCGGGGUCAAGAUGGCUGACUAGGUAGAAGCUACCUCGGAUCCCUCUUGCAACAAAGACUCGGAAAAACAAGUAAAUCGACCACAUAUAUGGCAAUCUACAAACCCUGACUAUCAAACACAGAUCUAAAGACUUGACCUGAGUGACAGAGACUGAGAACGAACAACCACGGGGAAGCGACUGUUUUCGGAGCUUGGAGCCAGGGUCCCAGUCAGGAAACCUUGGCGCUGGGCUUUGGACUGGGCGCAGGGGAGCUGAGCACGGCAUCCUGUGACGGCACAAACACGGGACGCAGCCCUACCCACCAGAAUUGACUUCGGGGGAAGCCCAGCCAGUGCAGGCAGGCAGCGCAAUGCAGCGCCGCGGCGACAGGAGAAGUCACCGCGAGGCAGCGACUGGUUCUGGAGCAGGGAGUGCGGAGUCCCAGCCGGGGAACCUUGGCGUGGGGCUUUGGACUGGGAGCGGAGGAACUAACCAUGGCUUCUGAAACAGCGCAAGCACGGGACACGGCCUGACCCUUGGGUGCAGUCUCUACCCAGCCAGUGCACACAGUGGUCGCGCCCCUCGGGAAUCUCAGAUAAAACAGUCAUCCCAAGCAAGAUAAGUAACUUUGGCUAUAUUCUGGGGUGCUACUCUCUCCUAUUUAUCUGUACCCUCCCCUCCCCUUCCCAGGCGGCUUCAUUAACAUUGGAAUUUCCUGAGCCAGAUAGCGAACUACCCUGCCAUUUUUCUUUCUUUUCUUUUGUUCUUUUCCUAACCCAUUCUCCUGGCCUGAGAGAAGCAGCUACAAAAAACCCAGGGACCAAAAAUUCUUCCCUAAUUGGACUAAAAACAGAGAACCAGCUCCAGCCAAGCGUAUGUGAUCCACAGUCUUGGGCUUUCAUCCCUACAGGGAGCAAGGUGGCUAUUAUAAUGGAAAGGCAUUUCUGAUAGGGAUCUGACUGUAAUUGUUUUAGCAGAUUACUGGAAAGACAAGUUUCCCAGGUCUGAUACCUCUGCAUAUUCAACAGAGCCCUCACUGAUCCACAACAGGGAGACAACACAAAAAAGAAAAUUACAGACCUAUAUCCUUCAUGAACAUAGAUGCAAAAUCCUAAACAAAAUUCUAGCCAAUAGAAUUCAACAACAUAUCAAAAAAAUAAUCCACCACGACCAAGUGGGAUUUAUACCAGGUAUGCAAGGCUGUUUUAAUAUUAGAAAAACCAUUAAUGUGAUCCACCAUAUAAAUAAAACAAAAGACAAAAACCACAUGAUCUUAUCAAUUGAUGCAGAAAAGGCAUUUGACAAAGUCCAACACCCAUUCAUGAUAAAACUCUCAGCAAAAUAGGAAUUGAAGGAAAAUUCCUCAACGUAAUAAAGGGCAUCUAUACAAAGCCAACAGCCAACAUCACCCUAAAUGGAGAGAGUCUGAAAGCAUUUCCCUUGAGAAGGGGAACCAGACAAGGAUGCCCUUUAUCACCGCUCUUAUUCAACAUUGUGCUAGAGGUCCUAGCCAGAGCAAUUAGGCUAGACGAAGAAAUAAAGGGCAUCCGGAUUGGCAAGGAGGAAGUAAAAUUAUCUCUAUUUGCAGAUGACAUGAUCUUAUACACAGAAAACCCUAAGGAAUCCUCCAGAAAACUACUGAAACUAAUAGAAGAGUUUGGCAGAGUCUCAGGUUAUAAGAUAAACAUACAAAAAUCACUUGGAUCACCAAAUCAAUACCAUUCACAGUAGCCCCCAAGAAGAUAAAAUACUUAGGAAUAAAUCUUACCAAAGAUGUAAAAGACCUAUACAAAGAAAACUACAAAGUACUAGUGCCAGAAACUAAAAAGGACCUAGUUAAGUGGAAAAACAUACCUUGCUCAUGGAUAGGAAGACUUAACAUAGUAAAAAUGUCUAUUCUACCAAAAGCCAUCUAUACAUACAAUGCACUUCCGAUCCAAAUUCCAAUGACAUUUUUUAAUGUGAUGGAGAAAUAAAUCACCAACUUCAUAUGGAAGGGAAAGAAGCCCCAGAUAAGCAAAGCAUUACUGAAAAAGAAGAAGAAAGUGGGAGGCCUCACUCUACCUGAUUUUAGAACGUAUUAUAAAGCCACAGUAGUCAAAACAGCCUGGUACUGGUACUGGUACAACAAUAGGCACAUAGACCAAUGGAACAGAAUUGAGAACCCAGAUAUAAAUCUAUCCACGUACGAGCAGCUGAUAUUUGACAAAGGCCCAGUGUCAGUUAAUUGGGGAAAAGAUAGUGUUUUUAACAAAUGGUGCUGGCAUAACUGGAUAUCCAGUUGCAAAAAAAUGAAACAGGACCCAUAUCUCACACCAUGCAGAAAAAACUAACUCCAAAUGGAUCAAAGACCUAAACAUAAAGACUAAAACGAUAAAGAUCAUGGAAGUAAAAACAGGGACAAUGUUAGGAGCCCUAAUACAAGGCAUAAACAGAAUACAAAAUAUUACCGAAAAUGACGAAGAGAAACCAGAUAACUGGGAGCUCCUAAAAAUCAAACACCUAUGCUCAUCUAAAGACUUCAUCAAAAGAGUAAAAAGACCACCUACAGAUUGGGAAAGAAUUUUCAGCUAUGACAUCUCCGACCAGUGCCUGAUCUCUAAAAUCUAUAUGAUUCUGUUAAAACUCAACCACAAAAAGACAAACGACCCAAUCAAGAAGUGGACAAAGGAUAUGAACACGCACAUCACAAAAGAAGAUAUUCAGGCAGCUAACAGAUACAUGAGAAAAUGCUCUCGAUCAUUAGCCAUUAGAGAAAUGCAAAUUAAAACUACGAUGAGAUUUCCAUCUCACUCCAACAAGGUUGGCAUUAAUCCAAAAAACACAAAAUAAUAAAUGUUGGAGAGGCUGCGGAGAGAUUGGAACUCUUAUACACUGCUGGUGGGAAUGUAAAACGGUACAACCACUUUGGAAAUCUAUCUGGUGUUUUCUUAAAAAGUUAGAAAUUGAACUACCAUACAACCCAGAAAUCCCACUCCUCGGAAUAUACCCUAGAGAAAUAAGAGCCUUCACACGAACAGAUACAUGCACACCCAUGUUUAUUGCAGCUCUGUUUACAAUAGCAAAAAGCUGGAAGCAACCAAGGUGUCCAUCAACGGAUGAAUGGUUAAAUAAAUCAUGGUAUAUUCACACAAUGGAAUACUAUGCAUUGAUAAAGAACAGUGACGAAUCUGUGAAACAUUUCAUAACAUGGAGGAACCUGGAAGGCAUUAUGCUGAGUGAAAUUAGUCUGAGGCAAAAGGACAAAUAUUGUAUAAGACCACUAUUAUAAGAUCUUGAGAAAUAGUACAAACUGAGAAGAACACACACUUUUGUGGUUA